RNAcentral lists this ribosomal RNA (250 nucleotides) under uncultured Chroococcidiopsis sp. Its description in RNAcentral is "partial 16S ribosomal RNA". It matches the Rfam family "Bacterial small subunit ribosomal RNA", at positions 796 to 1044 of the family's 1533-position model. The record is from RNAcentral. Lineage: Bacteria; Bacillati; Cyanobacteriota; Cyanophyceae; Chroococcidiopsidales; Chroococcidiopsidaceae.
CUAGCUGUAAACGAUGGAUACUAGGCGUUGAGAGUAUCGACCCUCUCAGUGUCGUAGCUAACGCGUUAAGUAUCCCGCCUGGGGAGUACGCGCGCAAGCGUGAAACUCAAAGGAAUUGACGGGGACCCGCACAAGCGGUGGAGUAUGUGGUUUAAUUCGAUGCAACGCGAAGAACCUUACCAGGGCUUGACAUGUCCGGAACCCCGCCCAAAGGCGGGGGUGCCUACGGGAACCGGAACACAGGUGGUGC